RNAcentral lists this ribosomal RNA (329 nucleotides) under Coelastrum sp. F187. RNAcentral's name for it is "bacterial LSU rRNA". Lineage: Eukaryota; Viridiplantae; Chlorophyta; Chlorophyceae; Sphaeropleales; Scenedesmaceae. The record is from RNAcentral.
UUUAUGGAAAAUCACACUCGUUUUAAUAAUAUUUUCUGUCCAUUAAAAUGGACAUAGUACUUAGUACCCAUAUGGAGAAUCUUAUUGUAUGGUAUAGUUAUACUCCUAGUAAAACAUCAUUGUGUUUUGACUGAGAGACCGAUUCACUCUGCUUUCUAGUGCAGAAACCAAGGGCAAUACGGCCGUCUAUAGGUAUUAUUCUUCUUAGAGAAUGGAAAAGAACCCUUUUCGUCUCUAAAUACUUCUUUGUAUUUUUCAGAAGAGUACCUUUCUUAGACUAUUGGCUACUAAUGUGAGCAUAAUCACUCCAGGGUUUUCCACCUUGCCUA